AGCAGCCGCGGUAAUUCCAGCUCCAAUAGCGUAUAUUAAAGUUGCUGCAGUUAAAAAGCUCGUAGUUGAAUUUCGGGAUCACCAUGUCGGUCGUGCCUCGGUACGUACUGGCAUUGUUGGUUUCUACCUUCUGACGAACCAUGAUGUCAUUUAUUUGGUGUCGUGGGAAAUCAGGACUGUUACUUUAGAAAAAUUGAGUGUUUAAAGCAGGCUCACGCUUGAAUACAUUAGCAUGGAAUAAUGAAAUAGGACGUUUGAUUCUAUUUUGUUGGUUUCUAGGAUCGACGUAAUGAUUAAUAGGGAUAGUUGGGGGCAUUAGUAUUCAAUUGUCAGAGGUGAAAUUCUUGGAUUUAUUGAAGACUAACUACUGCGAAAG
Molecule: ribosomal RNA, 376 nt
Filed under: uncultured Glomeromycotina
Lineage: Eukaryota; Fungi; Glomeromycota
Description: SSU rRNA
Rfam family: Eukaryotic small subunit ribosomal RNA
Source: RNAcentral